RNAcentral lists this ribosomal RNA (305 nucleotides) under uncultured bacterium. Its description in RNAcentral is "bacterial SSU rRNA". It matches the Rfam family "Bacterial small subunit ribosomal RNA", at positions 334 to 635 of the family's 1533-position model. The record is from RNAcentral.
GUAUCCUACGGGGGGCAGCAGUGAGGAAUAUUGGUCAAUGGGCGCGAGCCUGAACCAGCCAAGUCGCGUGAGGGAAGACGGUCCUAUGGAUUGUAAACCUCUUUUGUCAGGGAGCAAUUGGGUCCACGCGUGGGCUUAGCGAGAGUACCUGAAGAAAAAGCAUCGGCUAACUCCGUGCCAGCAGCCGCGGUAAUACGUAUGGUGCAAGCGCUAUCCGGAAUGACUGGGUGUAAAGGGAGCGUAGACGGUUGUACAAGUCUGAUGUGAAAGCCCACGGCUCAACUGUGGAAGUGCAUUGGAAACUG